RNAcentral lists this long non-coding RNA (1012 nucleotides) under Coturnix japonica (Japanese quail). RNAcentral's name for it is "lncRNA (ENSCJPG00005016115.1)". The record is from RNAcentral. Lineage: Eukaryota; Metazoa; Chordata; Aves; Galliformes; Phasianidae.
CUGAAUAUAAAGAACUUUAUUCUGUAAGCUUUCGAUUGCAUUGUUUCUCAUUACUAUCAGCAGUUAAAAUCUCUUUCCAACACAAAUAUUUUUUGUCUGUUCUAAACAAGAAACAUCUUGUAAGAACAAAGUGUUAUACAACACUCAAAACUCUCAAUUCUUUUUCCCUCGUCAAUUUUUCAGCAACUUUUUAAUGGAUGAAAACCAAGUCUUUAGCAAAGUAAUCUGAUAAUGGUAUUUCUAGUGUUAUAUUCAAGCGUUGCGAUGUUGGUCUAUUUUUCUUGAUACUCCUUAAGAGUUAUUUUAGCCUUUUAAGUGGUACUUGAGAGUCAGCUAUUUCAGAUUCUAAAGCCUGUUAAGUCUCAUAGCUUUCUAGGACGCUGUUCCUCUGCCAUUUAUCAUAAGCACUGUGUUUUGUUCUCAGCUGAAUGACAUUUGGAAGAAUUAAAAACUGCAGUGGGAUCAUCCAAGUGGCAGUUCAAAGGCGAUAUUUUGUUUCCAAUUGACAGCAAGAUGCCUGCUGGAGCUAGUGAGACUGAGCAGAUUGCAGUGGGAUAGUCUGGCUAUUUUCAAGCUGCACCGUACAGCUUGGAGUCUGAACAAUCCAUUCAAGCCUGGGGGAUCUGCGAUAUGGUUAGCAGGCAGCUGCAAAUUAGCCAGCCCACAGCUAUGCAAAGGAUAAUGGAAUCAAGCAUUGCUAACUGCUAGAAAGACUGACAGUCUAGAGAGGAGUUCCCAGAAAGAAAAAAAAAAAGAAAGAAAAAAAAAUGCAAGGAAACAAUAUAACACAUCCCCUCAAGUUGUCUCCUGGAUAUAUGAGAAGACAUGAAUCAGAAUCAGAUAUAAUAGUUAAAGAGAUGGCCUCUCCAGAUCACAGAAUCACAGAAUCACAGAAUGACCUCAGAUCAUCCAUCUGAUCAAUAGAGCUGCAUCUACAUUAAAAGUUUAUGUAGAUAAGCUGGUGUUGUUCCAUAUAAAUAAAUUUUAGCUACAUUUUGAGAUGUUCUUUACA